Molecule: ribosomal RNA, 939 nt
Filed under: uncultured bacterium
Lineage: Bacteria
Description: bacterial SSU rRNA
Rfam family: Bacterial small subunit ribosomal RNA
Source: RNAcentral
GCUACACAUGCAGUCGAGCGGAUGAGAAGAGCUUGCUCUUCGAUUCAGCGGCGGACGGGUGAGUAAUGCCUAGGAAUCUGCCUGGUAGUGGGGGACAACGUUUCGAAAGGAACGCUAAUACCGCAUACGUCCUACGGGAGAAAGCAGGGGACCUUCGGGCCUUGCGCUAUCAGAUGAGCCUAGGUCGGAUUAGCUAGUUGGUGAGGUAAUGGCUCACCAAGGCUACGAUCCGUAACUGGUCUGAGAGGAUGAUCAGUCACACUGGAACUGAGACACGGUCCAGACUCCUACGGGAGGCAGCAGUGGGGAAUAUUGGACAAUGGGCGAAAGCCUGAUCCAGCCAUGCCGCGUGUGUGAAGAAGGUCUUCGGAUUGUAAAGCACUUUAAGUUGGGAGGAAGGGCAGUAAGCUAAUACCUUGCUGUUUUGACGUUACCGACAGAAUAAGCACCGGCUAACUCUGUGCCAGCAGCCGCGGUAAUACAGAGGGUGCAAGCGUUAAUCGGAAUUACUGGGCGUAAAGCGCGCGUAGGUGGUUUGUUAAGUUGGAUGUGAAAGCCCCGGGCUCAACCUGGGAACUGCAUCCAAAACUGGCAAGCUAGAGUAUGGUAGAGGGUGGUGGAAUUUCCUGUGUAGCGGUGAAAUGCGUAGAUAUAGGAAGGAACACCAGUGGCGAAGGCGACCACCUGGACUGAUACUGACACUGAGGUGCGAAAGCGUGGGGAGCAAACAGGAUUAGAUACCCUGGUAGUCCACGCCGUAAACGAUGUCGACUAGCCGUUGGGAGCCUUGAGCUCUUAGUGGCGCAGCUAACGCAUUAAGUCGACCGCCUGGGGAGUACGGCCGCAAGGUUAAAACUCAAAUGAAUUGACGGGGCCCGCACAAGCGGUGGAGCAUGUGGUUUAAUUCGAGCACGCGAGACCUUACCAGGCCUUGACAUC